Long non-coding RNA from Metopolophium dirhodum (rose-grain aphid), 938 nucleotides. RefSeq lists it as uncharacterized. The record is from RefSeq and is a predicted model, not a curated record. The transcript has 3 exons. NCBI's taxonomy places the organism in Eukaryota, Metazoa, Arthropoda, Insecta, Hemiptera, Aphididae.
GAACGAGGCCGGUGACAAGUAGAGCUCCAGUCUGGUGGGAUCGACGCCGUCUGGUAGAGGUCUCUGGAGUAGCUGGGCGGCCGGAUAGGAUUCUUGAGUGAUACGCGCCAACUCUAUUUCGACAAGCUGCGUCUCACCAGUUAAGCUGAAAAGCAAGCACUAGAAGCACUGGAAUUGGAGAUGUAUGGAAAUGUUAAGCUGAAUAGCACGAAAACCAAAUAAGGAAGUGAAAAUGUUGAAGCUAGGAAGAACAUUUUCUGAUGAUUGUCACUAAUUAAAUUAAUUAAGAGACAGUUUCGAUUGUUUGGACAUGCUCUAAGACACCUAGAAGAGUUGCAAACUAUAAUAAUAAACAGUAUGAUGGAAGGGAAAAGAACGCCCAGGACGACCUAGCAAUUCAUACAUCAGCGAUGUCGUCGCGGUCGCGCCAUUCCGGGAAACAGUCCGUAAACCGGAGCGGCUCGAGUCCGGCCCAUACCAGAAACGCUUUCGGAUCGUUGUCAUCGUCGUCGCCGUAUUGUCGUUUCCAGUAAUCUAACGCCGUCUGCAUGGCCGCCCUCCUUUCGGCUUGAAGUCUGGUCGACGAUGAUCCGCGAUGGUUUAACGCUGUUGCCGUAAAGGUAGCGGGCUCCGCGUCAGCGUCAUCUCCCUCCUCCGCCGUCAACACCGCCGUCUCGGGCCACCAUCCUUGCCACAGCCACAACUCCUCGCCCGUGUCAAGCAUGAACGUCGCUAAACGUGAAAACGAAACAGCGGUUUAAAAGACAUCGUGCAAAUUCUUAUCGCGUAUUUAUAAAAUUAAAUUAUUUUUAAAGAAUAAAAACCAUUCGUGUGCCACUAUGCAAUACCAAAUAAUUAGCUAUAAUAUUUAUCAAUGACUAAUUUGUAAUUACACAAUACGAGUCUAUAUUUAAAAAAUAAAAUGAAUACAUUUGAAA